This 301-nucleotide ribosomal RNA is filed under the name uncultured bacterium. Its description in RNAcentral is "partial 16S ribosomal RNA". It matches the Rfam family "Bacterial small subunit ribosomal RNA", at positions 509 to 807 of the family's 1533-position model. The record is from RNAcentral.
CAGUAGCCGCGGUAACACGAAGGGUGCAAGCGUUAAUCGGAAUUACUGGGCGUAAAGCGUGCGUAGGCGGUUUGUUAAGUCUGUUGUGAAAUCCCCGGGCUCAACCUGGGAAUGGCAAUGGAUACUGGCAAGCUAGAGUGUGUCAGAGGAUGGUGGAAUUCCCGGUGUAGCGGUGAAAUGCGUAGAGAUCGGGAGGAACAUCAGUGGCGAAGGCGGCCAUCUGGGACAACACUGACGCUCAUGCACGAAAGCGUGGGGAGCAAACAGGAUUAGAGACCCCUGUAGUCCCUGUCUCUUAUAC